UUUAAAGUACCUGGACGUAGAAAGUGCUG
RNAcentral lists this non-coding RNA (29 nucleotides) under Mus musculus (house mouse). Lineage: Eukaryota; Metazoa; Chordata; Mammalia; Rodentia; Muridae. The record is from RNAcentral.